RNAcentral lists this ribosomal RNA (714 nucleotides) under uncultured Pseudomonadota bacterium. RNAcentral's name for it is "bacterial SSU rRNA". It matches the Rfam family "Bacterial small subunit ribosomal RNA", at positions 44 to 752 of the family's 1533-position model. The record is from RNAcentral. Lineage: Bacteria; Pseudomonadati; Pseudomonadota.
AGGCUUAACACAUGCAAGUCGAGCGGGCGAGGUUGCUUCGGUAACUGAGCUAGCGGCGGACGGGUGAGUAAUGCUUAGGAAUCUGCCUAUUAGUGGGGGACAACAUUCCGAAAGGAAUGCUAAUACCGCAUACGCCCUACGGGGGAAAGCAGGGGAUCUUCGGACCUUGCGCUAAUAGAUGAGCCUAAGUCAGAUUAGCUAGUUGGUGGGGUAAAGGCCUACCAAGGCGACGAUCUGUAGCGGGUCUGAGAGGAUGAUCCGCCACACUGGGACUGAGACACGGCCCAGACUCCUACGGGAGGCAGCAGUGGGGAAUAUUGGACAAUGGGCGAAAGCCUGAUCCAGCCAUGCCGCGUGUGUGAAGAAGGCCUUUUGGUUGUAAAGCACUUUAAGCGAGGAGGAGGCUACCGAGAUUAAUACUCUUGGAUAGUGGACGUUACUCGCAGAAUAAGCACCGGCUAACUCUGUGCCAGCAGCCGCGGUAAUACAGAGGGUGCGAGCGUUAAUCGGAUUUACUGGGCGUAAAGCGUGCGUAGGCGGCUUCUUAAGUCGGAUGUGAAAUCCCUGAGCUUAACUUAGGAAUUGCAUUCGAUACUGGGAAGCUAGAGUAUGGGAGAGGAUGGUAGAAUUCCAGGUGUAGCGGUGAAAUGCGUAGAGAUCUGGAGGAAUACCGAUGGCGAAGGCAGCCAUCUGGCCUAAUACUGACGCUGAGGU